GGCAGAGAUUGCGAACGUCAGCCUCCUAAGUGGAACCUGUUUUAUUCAAUCCAUGAAAAAGUUAUUCUGACUGUGACAAAGUAACGCACACUCUAUGGAGACUUCCGAUUUUGGAAGGAGCUAGGUGUGCUCCCUUCAGGGUGCGCCUUCUCUAAAAGGCAAUACAUUCUCUUUUCAAUGGUGCAGCUCUGACCUCUGCUGGCCACAGACUUUAAAGACAACCCCAAAGGGAAUAAGGCUGACUUCUUUUGCGGUUUAAAGAAAACAAGCUAUAUUUGUAUGAAACCACAGAAUUCUAGUACUAGGACAUCCAGUCCAAUUCUCUGCACUAAGGCAGAGUCCUUUGCACCCAGACUUAUUAGCCCACAUCCACCAAUUACUUUAUCCCACAUCCUUGGAUUAUUGUGGAUUAUUCCACAAGCAGAGUGCACAACCAAUCAAGAGGCUCGAUGCCAGUAAAAAAAGGGGGGGGAGAGGCGAGAACAUGUGUACUCAAUCAAAUCCAGAUGGCUCCAGCAAAGGAAUGGUGCCAUAUGGCAACAUGCCACAGGGAAAGGCGGACAUACGCCCCCAUGUCGGGUCACCUGCCAAUUUAAAGAGGAAGAAACUAAUACUACUUAAUAUUUACACAUGUACAUGUGCUUCAUGCACACUGUCAGAGUAAUCCGUGCAAACAGCUAGCCAUUAUUAUUCUACUAUUAUGGCAGAUGGAAACAGAAAUGGAGAUACAGCAGUUGACGGCCACCCAGUUGUAGCAGGAGGGAAAGCUGACUUACUCUGUGGCAGGGAGUUUAUUUGGGGCUGGAGCAUUGGCAGGUAUGCGCAAGGGGAGGGGAGAGCAGAAGACGCCAAGGACAGCCACAACAGCAUUGACUUUGUUCCUGGACUCUGCCAUAAUAGGGCUUCUAUUGAGAGAUACGAUUGAAGGCAAUAGGGCAUGGAUGCAGGUGUGAGUGGUUUGGUGGUGAGCAUUUGCUCGGUGGGUGGUUGGGCAUUGGGGCAAUCCUUUGUUUUGGAUGGAAGGGAGGUUGUAUCUGCCUGCCCCUCCAAAUGCUGGGGUAUUUUGUUAAAGGGAUCUGGGGGGAGUGGCCUGGGCCAGGGCCAGGGCCAAAGCACUCCCCCAGACAGUGGUCCCUGUAGGGGUCACCCUAAUGGAUGUAAGUCUUAGGAACCUCUGCCUGGAUUGACCACGCGUCACUUCCAACGGGCGGGCUGGAAGUAUUUAGAUUGCCCCAUGCCCAAUUCAAGCCUCUUUCAUCUGUAUUCAAUAAAGUUGUGGCCUGUUUUGACUCCAAACCAGUCUCUGUGGUCUCUCAUUAUACAGGUUGGGGUAUGUAAGUCCUUCAAGAAGAAUUGUGGAUAAGCCGCAAGACUUUACAUAAUACUUGGAUAUAAGUAUGGCAGUGCAAAUUAUAGUUGCAAUUCUUGUUACACAAUAGGAGCAUCCAACAUGUUCUAUGGCAACCCGGAAAUGGGGGAAAGAAAGGUGUGUAGUAUCAGGUUUAAAGAAAUCUUAACGUAAGAAUUGAACUCAGUCACAAGAUUUCCCCAAUGUGCCUCAAACUUGGCAAGUAGAUUGGAAGAUAUCCAGAGUAUCUGAGUGCCCAGAUCUUGUGGCACAGCCAAGCAGCCUGGAGGCCCACCUUUUAUAUCUGUAGCAAAAACCUUCCCUUGUAUACACUUGUACUAGCUUACACAACAAUCCAGUCAUUCCUCAAGUAUUUCUUUUAUAACACGUUAAUGAGUGUGCAUCUAAUAGCGUGAGAUUAAGAGUGUUCUGCUUUGUAUACAAGUAGUCAGCACCUGUAAUGGCAGGUCAAAGGGAAAAAAGGGAGGAAGUGCAUUUUGAAAGACAUGGAAGACUCCAGCCGGCAUUCCUGCCCUCUGUCAUGUGCCCUGCAGUGCUGUUGGGACCAGGCUCCAACAGAACAGGAAGAAACAGAAGAAAGGGGCAGAGUUGUGGGAACCAGGGUUGAAGGGGGGUGUGGAAACUCCCAUUUCCACCCCAACUUCAGUCACUUUGCAAAGGGGAACAGGAAUGCUGACUGUCCCCUCUGACCUUCCUGUAGAACAGGAAGCCUCAGUGGAGGCUUGGCAGGACUUUAAUCAGCUGAAGUGGCAGCGAUUGAACAGAGGCCUUAGGUUGCAGUGUUGUCACCUAGGAGCAGAUACAGUGGUACCUCUGGUUACAAACUUAAUUCAUUCCGGAGGUCCGUUCUUAACCUGAAACUGUUCUUAACCUGAGGCACGCCUUCACUAAGGCGGCCUCCCGCUGCCGCCGCCACGCCACUGGCCCACGACUUCCACUCGCAUCCCAGGGCAAAGUUUGCUACCAGGAGCACCUACUUCCGGGUUAGCAGAGCUCAUUACCGGAAGCGUUUGUAAGGAGGACGUACGUAACCCGAAGUUCCACUGUAAUGCCUUUGCAAAUGGGAACAGACCUAUAUGCCUUGACAGAGCCUGUGCUUAUAUUCCAGGUAUUCUCACAAGGCAAGAGAGCCUUACAAGUAGUGCCUCAUCUAUAAAAGCUUGGUGGAAUGGCGGAGAAACCUGUUGGGACAUCUUUGUCACUUCUGUUCAGUUCUGAAUUUCUUGCCCUGCUCCUGAAUCAUGACUGCUGAGCACUGCAUCUGCUGCGGAGCCUGUGCCGUUACUUGCCUGAAUAAAGAUCUCUUCCUUCCUUCCAAGUGCUAUUCUCUGCCUGUAUAUGUUGCGGGGGAGCCAGGACAUCACAAACCUUUGUUAAUAAAUGGGGCGGGGGGGUUGGUUGGUUAGUGAGAUGUGUGACCUGAUUCUAACUAAGUAUACCUAGGAUUUUCAAACAUGCCUUCUAUACAUCUCUGGCACACUUAUAACAGGGCAACUAAGAACAUCAGUGCUUUAAAAACCAUCUAGUGUAGUAGGUCUGCCUUCCCUAUUUUCCUGUCCAUCACCUCUGAAAAAAACGUGUUCAAGCCAGGAAUGGGGAACCUGUGGCCCUCUAGGUGUUGUUGGAUUCCAACUUCCAUCUUCCAUGACCAUUGGAUCAUGCUGACUGGGGCUGAUGGGGGUUGAAGUCCAAAACAUGUGUCGGGCACCAGGG
Non-coding RNA from Podarcis lilfordi (Lilford's wall lizard), 3082 nucleotides. The record is from the annotation of a GenBank genome assembly. Lineage: Eukaryota; Metazoa; Chordata; Lepidosauria; Squamata; Lacertidae.